Pezoporus flaviventris is the source of this 575-nucleotide long non-coding RNA. RefSeq lists it as uncharacterized. The record is from RefSeq and is a predicted model, not a curated record. NCBI's taxonomy places the organism in Eukaryota, Metazoa, Chordata, Aves, Psittaciformes, Psittacidae. The transcript has 2 exons.
GCAGGAGGCGGCGGAGGAUGGGAAACCUCAUGGGAGGCCCCAUGAUGAUCGUGAUGGUGACUGCUGUGUCCACUGGAAACGGAGCCGAAGAAAACUGGACAGAUGAAGUUUUCCACCGGAGCAAAAGGGCUGGGUGCAUUUAGAGCAUCUCAUCUUUCACCUUUGACCCAUCCAAUAGCCAUCAUAAUGAACCAGCCGUGGUGGUAGUGGUGGUGAGCGUGGUGGACCCCAGCUGCGAUCUUGCGAACUCUGACCACCUCCUUCAUUGCCACAAAGAUGAGCUUCACUGGCAGAAAGCUGACACACUUGUAGAAGAGGUUCAUGGGACAGAAGAAUAUCAAAUACCUGGAACAAAACCACAAAGAAUGUGAGGACCAACUUGCUUGUCCUGAUUUGAGAUGUGCAGAGAGGAUUGAUGAGGUGUACUGUAGUGUUAGCCUGAAUUAUGUUGGGGAGAAGGAAGUGCUGGUUCUGUCAUGCAACCCAGAUGCAGUGAGGAAAUGAAACGUGGAGUAACUGUGGUUAAUUUGUGCACAUUUCACUAACGUGAUGAAUAAAAUGCCCCCAGAUUUCCA